Non-coding RNA from Eumeta japonica, 108 nucleotides. NCBI's taxonomy places the organism in Eukaryota, Metazoa, Arthropoda, Insecta, Lepidoptera, Psychidae. The record is from the annotation of a GenBank genome assembly.
GAUGCCCAUACCACGUUGAAUCCUAACCGGUUCUCGUCUGAUCACUAAAGUUAAGCAGCGUCGGGCGUGAUCAGUACUUAGAUGGAUAGGCGCUUGGGAAGACUGCGU